This is a long non-coding RNA of Hordeum vulgare subsp. vulgare (domesticated barley), 271 nucleotides long. RefSeq lists it as uncharacterized. Lineage: Eukaryota; Viridiplantae; Streptophyta; Magnoliopsida; Poales; Poaceae. The transcript has 2 exons. The record is from RefSeq and is a predicted model, not a curated record.
AAGAUGAUCAGACUGCUUCGCAGCUUGACGGUCGAAAAGAAGAACUCUGUUCAGGACCUCCAGGCCUAAGAAAGUUGAAGUGCGAAGCCUUGAAGCCAAUUGUGUGAAGCUCUACUUAUCCAAGAAUGCAUAUUAUAUAUUAUAAUAAUAGGCAUAUCUGCUUUGUAACAGAUUGGAAAAAUUGUAAUAUACUACCUUCGUGUUAAUUUGAUGAAUUUCACAUGUUCUUUCUGCUCUAUUUGAAAUAUUCAUAUCGUAUGCGAUUUGAAAA